UCCGUAGGCGGGCGUCGAAGUCAGUGGUGAAAUCCCGCAGCUCAACUGUGGAAUUGCCAUUGAUACUGGUCGCCUUGAAUUAGUGUGAAGUGGCUAGAAUAUGUAGUGUAGCGGUGAAAUGCUUAGAUAUUACAUAGAAUACCGAUUGCGAAGGCAGGUCACUAACACUAUAUUGACGCUGAUGGACGAAAGCGUGGGGAGCGAACAGGAUUAGAUACCCUGGUAGUCC
Molecule: ribosomal RNA, 229 nt
Filed under: uncultured bacterium
Lineage: Bacteria
Description: partial 16S ribosomal RNA
Rfam family: Bacterial small subunit ribosomal RNA
Source: RNAcentral